UUGAGUGACCUGGAGACUGAAGUCUCUCCAAAAGCAAGUUCAUCAUAGGUGGCAGCAGUGUGAGCUUCUCUAGUAUGAUCUGCCUUCCUUCAAUGCUGAUUGGUGGGGCGACCUAUGAGAGGGACAGAAUUUAAUGCAUGCUCCAUGCCCAUUCAGUCCUUGGCCUCU
RNAcentral lists this small RNA (168 nucleotides) under Chelonoidis abingdonii (Abingdon island giant tortoise). Its description in RNAcentral is "TUC338 (ENSCABG00000015267.1)". Lineage: Eukaryota; Metazoa; Chordata; Testudines; Testudinidae. The record is from RNAcentral.